UUUAAUAGAGUAUUUGAUCUUUUUUGUUUUUGAAAAUUCUGUUGCUCAUAGUUAAAAUGAAAUACCAAAUCAAAAAAUAUCAUUUAUUAUUCGUUAAUCUUCAUACACUACACAACACUUAAGCUAAGAUACUCUUACUCAUUAGUCAACACAUAAAUUAAGUAAUUCAAUACGCAGCACUUGAAAUUAUAAAGUAUCGAUAAGAGAAGGGAGAAAAUAGAAAAUCGAUAUUAAAUCGAUGUGUUAUCGACGGUAGAAGGAACAUUGAUAAAUAAAAGCGUUCGCAUUUUCUCAAUCUCUGAAAGCCCCAAAAAAAAAAAGAA
This is a long non-coding RNA of Drosophila nasuta, 323 nucleotides long. RefSeq lists it as uncharacterized. NCBI's taxonomy places the organism in Eukaryota, Metazoa, Arthropoda, Insecta, Diptera, Drosophilidae. The transcript has 2 exons. The record is from RefSeq and is a predicted model, not a curated record.